GACGGGACCGCACAAGCGGUGGAUGAUGUGGUUAAUUCGAUGCAACGACGAAAACCUUACCCACCUUGACAUGUACGAAGCCUUAGAGAUAGAGGCGUGCUCGAAAGAGAGCCGUAACACAGGUGCUGCAUGGCUGUCGUCAGCUCGUGUCGUGAGAUGUUGGGUUAAGUCCCGCAACGAACGCAACCCUUGUCAUUAGUUGCUACAUUCAGUUGGGCACUCUAAUGAGACUGCCGGUGACAAGCCGGAGGAAGGUGGGGAUGACGUCAAGUCCUCAUGGCCCUUAUAGGUGGGGCUACACACGUCAUACAAUGGCUGGUACAAAGGGUUGCCAACCCGCGAGGGGGAGCUAAUCCCAUAAAGCCAGUCGUAGUCCGGAUCGUAGUCUGCAACUCGACUACGUGAAGUCGGAAUCGCUAGUAAUCGUGGAUCAGCACGCCGCGGUGAAUACGUUCCCGGGCCUU
Molecule: ribosomal RNA, 464 nt
Filed under: uncultured Rhodoferax sp.
Lineage: Bacteria; Pseudomonadati; Pseudomonadota; Betaproteobacteria; Burkholderiales; Comamonadaceae
Description: bacterial SSU rRNA
Rfam family: Bacterial small subunit ribosomal RNA
Source: RNAcentral